AGUGAACGCUGGCGGUAGGCCUAACACAUGCAAGUCGAACGGCAGCACAGUAAGAGCUUGCUCUUACGGGUGGCGAGUGGCGGACGGGUGAGGAAUACAUCGGAAUCUACUUUUUCGUGGGGGAUAACGUAGGGAAACUUACGCUAAUACCGCAUACGACCUACGGGUGAAAGCAGGGGAUCUUCGGACCUUGCGCGAUUGAAUGAGCCGAUGUCGGAUUAGCUAGUUGGCGGGGUAAAGGCCCACCAAGGCGACGAUCCGUAGCUGGUCUGAGAGGAUGAUGAGAGACACUGGGACUGAUACACGGUAAAGACUCCCACGGGAGGCAGCAGUGGGGAAGUUUGGACAAUGGGCGAAAGACUGAUAAAGAAAUGCAGCGUGGGUGAAGAAGGCCUUCGGGUUGUAAAGCACGUUUGUAAGGAAAGAAAUAAAUCGGCCUAAUACGGUCGGGGGAUGACGGUACCGGAAGAAUAAGCAACGGCCAACUACGUG
This 492-nucleotide ribosomal RNA is filed under the name uncultured bacterium. RNAcentral describes it as "partial 16S ribosomal RNA". It matches the Rfam family "Bacterial small subunit ribosomal RNA", at positions 29 to 507 of the family's 1533-position model. The record is from RNAcentral.